This is a long non-coding RNA of Chelonia mydas (Green sea turtle), 7787 nucleotides long. RefSeq lists it as uncharacterized. The record is from RefSeq and is a predicted model, not a curated record. Lineage: Eukaryota; Metazoa; Chordata; Testudines; Cheloniidae. The transcript is spliced from 2 exons.
UUUUGCUACAUUGUUUCUUAUCAAAAUGUAUAACCCACAGCUUCCAUUUACACCUCUAUCAGAAAUUUGUAUAUGUCUUCCUUGUGCUUAACAGUCAGGUCUGCUGUCCCUCUAGUAGCAGUAGUAGAAGAGAGAAUUUCAGAUAACUACUUAAUUUUGUUUCACUCAGAAUGCUCCCAGCAUCUCUUUCUCCUGCUCCCCCCCCCAGUCAAAGGAGAGUUUGUAAACUCUUUCAGGCAGGGGCUCUCUCCUUGUUCUCUUUGUACAGUGCCUUGCGCAAAGGGGGCCUGGUCCAAGGCACUGUGAUAACACAAAUAUUCAAGUAAUCAUAACUAUGUAUGGCCCAUUUCAGCUGGACACACAUCUACUGAAGACCAUAACUUCUCUUUAAGUAAAUUAGCCAGGCCACCAGCUGGGAAUAUGUUUUGAGAGUGGGUUGGGUGGUUUCUGAAUUCAGCCACCCAGAGGGAAAAUGAGAAUUUAAAGACUUCUAUGAGCGCACACUUCAGCAGAAGCACAAAACACCCUUUCAGAUCUGUGGUUAAGCCCUGUUGGCAAUUGAGCUGCAAUUUCAAUCAGCGUGGGUGGGUGGGUGUGUAUUAGUUGCUAUACUUAGGAUAUCUAAAUUCUGUGUCUCAUGGAUUUCUAAAGCUUCAGUUUCUUCUUCCUGAGUACUUUAUCAGGGUGCACACACAGAAUACCCAGGUGGUGGUGUCAUGUUUUCUGGGUUUUAUUAACAACCUCAACCCCUCAUAAACCUUUGUUUACUCUGGGCAUAAUAUCAAUUUGUGACAUCAGGAGUGAGAAAUAUCUAACCCCUGGUAGGGGAGCGGGAGUCUUUGUUCCCCUCUAGUGGCUAGUCUGCAUAAAAGGUAGUGAUUCUGUUACAGCAGCUAUCCAGAGAGGUCAGGUCUUUAGCUCAAGCAGAAAAGGUUCAUGAUUUUAGCACUGAAGGGCCUAGGCUCAAACCCCAGUGAUGGUCCAAGUAGAACAGAUUGUGUUCAGCAGCAAAUUGAGUAUAGAUCAGGGUUUAAUUACAGUUUCUGAAAUGGUGCUAAACCUGGCUGUCCUUGGCCAGGCUUGCAGCUAAGUCAGGUUUUACUGCACUUGUUCCUGACAGCUGCUGUUGGAAACAGAUACUUCCUAUAGUGUAGUCAAGGUUCAUAACACUGUCUUCUAAAAAGUUAAGCAAAAAUCCAGUCUACUAUCAAACCUGAUGCUUGCUCCAGAUGCCUAUGGAAGAAUACACACUAGAUCUCUUGUUGGAGUUUAUGAUCACAGGACACAGGCUGCUCAAGUACUCAAUGAAAGGAAAUCGGACCAUCCGAAAGCUGUGAUCCACAGGACGUAGAGAUCCCAAGCCUAGCAACAGUGUCCAAGCAGAGCAGCAGUUAAAGGGUUGUUUUUUUAAAAUAGUUCAGGGACAGCUGGGUAAAUGUUAGAGCCCAGAGAAGUGGGAACUGAAACAGUUUCAACAGUGCUAGCAGGAACUUAAGGCAGUAGUCGACAGCUCAGGAGAACAGUGUCUCUGAAACAUUUGUGGCUAAUCCACUUCAAUGCAGCAGUGCCAGGAGACUCAAGGGUCGACAGAAGGCUAGAAAAACCAGAUGCUGUGAGGAGACCUCUUGCCCAAAGAUGGGAGAUCAGCAAUGGAAGUGUGAAGAGUAUUUGGUUGUUCCUGUUCUGGCUGCCCCGUACCUGAUGGAGAGCUUGCUUUGCAGAGACAUUUAGAGGUAAAAAAUUCCAAGUCUGAUUUGCUCUCAGUACACUGGUUUUACACAGGUAUCACUGCAGCUAUUCCUGAUUGACACCAGUAUACGUGAAUUCAGUAUACAUGCCAGGAAUCAGAGGCACUGACAUUCUAUUUUUAAGUGUACGCGCCUUACAUUGAAAUAGCCCCCAUGCACAGCCUACUUCAGAAUAAUUGAUGUUUUUAGAGGGAGCAGAUUCCGUGAAAGUUUGUGCCUAACUUUGAUAGCCAGAGCACAUGUACAUCCUAACACUGAUCUCACAAAGUUUAUGUGCAACCCAAUUAUGUGCAAGGGAAGUUUCACCCCAUGAUUUGAAAUUGCAUUUAUUAUCCUUUUUUUUUUUUUUUUUUUUAAAGAAUUUUGAAGGAUUAAAUAAAUUUUUCACGGAACUGCUCAAUAAUUUGCUAUGUGCUUCUGAGGGCAGAAACUAAAGCAAUUUAAGGUCAGCUUAGAAAUGUAAGUGUGGCACAUUUUGCUUCUGUUUGAUUGACAUUGCUAUUCCAAGCACCUGAUUUUUUUUUUUAAGAAAGCAGUUAGGCCCAAGUGGACACAUACGCUGUGGCUUCAGGCACUGAAAACCCAAUGGCAUUUGGGUUUAGGCUGUGCGUGUCUGUGAAGAGCCAUGACUGGGAGUGAAACUUCAUAAUAGAACACUUGCACCCCGGUUCUUUCUUCUCUGAGAGGCAGCAUUGCACCUGCCUGCAGAUGAGUGUUGCAAUGUGUCGCCAGGGGAAUCAAGGAGAGCAAUACAUGCAUCUAAACAAGUAUUCCCCACUUUCUAUCCAGAGUCCCACAUGCCUUCCUCAGUUCUGUUCCUGGAUUGAACAAUUAGUUUGUGUGAACUCCUGAGAAACUGGAAUAUGAGUACAAUUUGAAAUGGCAAAACAGAAUUCAUAUGCAGCCAUUUUGGGACAAAAGGAAGCAAACAAUGUGGUGCUUUUAUUUAUACAGUUCCUAUACAUUUUGUCCCAUCUGCAUUGCUUGCAUAAAGCAGAUAAAAUAUUUUAAUACAGUAAGUAAUGCAGGUGAAACACAAAUUGAUCAGAUUUGGUGUUACAAAGAAAGCACCAUAUUUUAACUGGAAACAAAUAUCCAUCCCUUGGAUUUCACGAGAAUGGGAUUGUGUUCUAAGAAAAAUCAAUGAAAUAUUCAAGCAGAAAAACGUAAUUGUGCCUCUCUUUGAUUUUGAGUCUGAUAGUGAUUGAAAAUACAUUUCAGGAGUUCUUAAAGCACAUAUAAUUUCUGAUUCACUGCCAAAAAGAAGAAACUUGUCACAUUAUUGCUAAGUACAAAGAACAGAAGAAAGUAGAUACUAAUUUAUUCAAUAUGUUGUUGUACAACAAUGUUGUAAAAUAAGAAGCUUGGGGAAGAAGGGGAAGCUGCAAAUACAAAGCGUGGAAGCAUACCCAGGGCAAUACUAGUUUGCAGAAGGCCAAAGGGAUGAUGAACUGAACAGAAAGAGCAAUGGGGAGUUGGAUAUUGGGGAACAGGAGCUCACAAACUGGAAGAAAAAAAAUCAAAAGUUGAUUAAAUUAAUCCUAAAGUGAAACCAUGAAGACAGCGGAGGAAAGUCUUGAGGAAAAGGUUGGGGCAGGGCAAGAGGGAAAUGAGGAUUGGAAAAAAGCAACAGGUUCUAGCAGGUUGCAGAUACACAAAAAGAAGAUUUGUGAGGGGGAAAGUCCCAAAAGGGAAAAAAAGCGGGGGAGGUCUAUAAAAGAGUCACAAACCCUGAAAGAAUCAAAAAGGAACACAAUGAAAAAUUUAUCUCUAUUAAAAAUACAGAGAUAGAUCUUCAUAUUUCAAAUUCUCUCUGCCUGCAUAAAAUAGACACAGGGCCUGAUUUCCCUGGCUGUUCUGGAGACAGAAGCUUCCCAGGAGUGGGGGAACAGGGCAAGCUGGUGCAGUCCAGUAGUGGUGGGGCCAACUGGUUGGGAGAGAUGCUGCUUAAUCAGCACAUUCUGCUCAGGUAGUAUCCUCCAAUCCUGCUUGUGUGGAGUCCUUAAUCUGAAUUUAAAACUGCAGACGAGGUAGAAUCCUCAGAUGAGGUCAUCCUGGUAGAAAGUUAUCCCCUGCCCCACUGCCCUCCCCCAGGGGCAAAUCGCCCCUGAAGUUCAGCAACUCCAUAGGCACAAAGCAUGUGUGUGUGUGCACAUGCAAUUUGCACCUUCUAUGCUUGUGGCAGAGAACCCAUGGGUGUGCAUGCAUGCACACACAUAUAUAUCGUUGUUAGUAGUGCCCUGUGGUAAAAGUUUAGGGUGGAGACCCAGCUGAUCAAAUUUCUUUGCUUCGCUGUACAGCAACCUGCUAUGUCUUAGAUAAUGCUAAUGGCACUUCCUGAAGAAUAAUGCUGUUUUCCUACUUUUCUCCCCAUACAUACUGCACAACACACAGGACUGAACAAGAUAGGACUUCCGCAAUGGUUUUGAAAAACAAGAUUGAUUAUGCUGAAGUCAAUGGUGGAUUGUCAUGAGUUGAUUAAAAAAAUCAAUUCAUUUAGUUUAAUCCACAUCUGCACCGGCCUCCCCCCAAAAAACCUUUUACAUUUUAACAUGUCAAAUAUUUGAAAGAACAAUAAGUGCCCAGAUGUGCAAAACUGAACAGUGGGCAGACACCAAGCAUGAAUGUGGACCAACAUGAUUUAAUUUAGAGCAAAGAGAAAAUGCAGUAAUACAGUUGAGCUACAUGGAGAAUGGCAUUGAUUAAAAAAGGGAAGAGGUAUUUUUGUGGGUGCAGCACUAGUUUGCUAGGAGCUUCAUGCUACCUUAGACCUUUAAUUUGACCUAUUUUUGGUCUCAUUUGUAGCUGACAAAAGCAUGAGUGAAAUUUAUCUUGUAACUCUCUAAAGGGCAGGAGAGGAAUUGGAACUAUUAAAUGUUGGGACGUAGGCUGUUGGAGAUGCAGUAACCAAAUCAUUAUAAUUUUUGAAUUAUUUUGGAUUCCCCAAAUUUACAUGCCUAAAGAAAAGGGUGGCAGAUAUGACUCUGUAUGUUAGCGGCACUUCAGAUGCGAUUGAGAGCGGUCGAGGAUACUGGUUGUUAACAUAUUUUGAAUUGAGAAUCCAUUGACUCGGCAAAAGAGAGAGAGAGAGAGAGAGAGAGAUGUGUUUGCUCUGUAGAGUUGCUUCUCCACAGAGCGUCAACCCAGAAAAAAAUGAUGGGACAUAAAAGCUUCAUAAUUUAAAGAUGAAUUUGGAAAUAGACCAUAAAAUUCAGGACAGGAUCAUAAAAACAACAGAUUCUAGCUCAUUGCAUUGCUCAGAGUGUCCGAGAAAGAAUGGUAUGGCCACUAGGCGAAGAUUUGAAAAUAUAAUCUACCAGGAAAAUUAGCAAGUGUUAUGUUUCUUUUAUUUUAGGCUUUUUCCCUAGCGAAGUCCCGUUGGCCUCAAUUCAGCAGGGUACUCAAGCAUUUGUCUACAUUUAAAAUUAAGCAUGUGCUGACAUAUAUUACUGAAUCUGUACCCUGGAGAAGAACCAUAGCUCAUCUGAGCCCUGAUUUAAGCCCAUUAAAGUCAAUGGGAGGCUGGUGUGAUUGGGCAAAAUUCUACUUUGUUAUACUGGUGUAAAUGAAGAGUAAUUAAAGUGGACUUACAUCCCUGUAACAGAGAUGAGAUUUUUUUCCUCCUAAUCAUUCUGUCAAAUGCGUCCCUUCAACCAGCUUAUAUAGAAAUAGAUAUCUGAUUGAUUGGUUUAUUUUAAACUGAGUAUAGUAGAUGUCAACACCACUAGAAUUAUGUUACUAAACCUUGAUGACCCUGCAUUAUUUACAUGUCUCAGAGGCUUACCCAACUGACUUAUACUUGUAAAGAUAACUUCUACAAAAUGACAUUUUAACUUUGUCUUGUAAAUAAAAUAUUUUUAACACCUAUUGGGUACUUGGUUUGCGAUUUAAACCAUGGGAGUUCACCUGUUUAUAUUUUCCAGUCUGGGGUAAGAAGAAAGUUUAUUAUUUAUGGUAUAAAAACAAAUUACAUGUGGGGGCACAGAUUAAAUUGGUAGGGAAUAGUAAAAUUCACGGUUAUGAAAGAAGACUGAGAAAAGAGAGGUGUUGAUUGGAUGUUAGGAAGAUUUUUCUCCCUGUGUUGUUGGGAUAGGGAAUAGAUGGUAGAUGUUGAUGCUACAAGCCUCAAGGAACAGAAAUGCAAGUUCUGUGCUAGAGAACUUACUGGGAAUUCUUCAGGCAGAGCAUUUUCAGGAUCAGUCUCCGAGUGUGGUAUAGAAGAGUGUCUGACAGUUCAUGGCAGAUACACAGACAUGCAAAUACCAUGGUGAUGACUGUGGUUCAGGAAUAAGGGGAAAAAAGAAGGCAGGAAAUGGAUUUGUGGUUUUUUCCAUCCAAAUUUCAUACAUUCCUGUGGUCUUCCAAAAUACUAUGCACUCUUCUGGGGGCCGUUACGGGCACUUACUUCCGCAACUAGACAGACAUAUGUGUCCAAUAAAUAUAGUAUGUUAAUACAUUCAUUCCAGAUUAGAAGCUUGGGGGUCCAAUCCUGAAGUUCUUCAAAGUGUUAGCCAACACACACACACACACACACUGAAAUAGGUAUUACAUAUAUUGAACUAAUAUCGUAUAUAUUGUAACAAAUAUGAAUGUUGGGUAGUUAGGCUAACUUGACUUGUAUCAUGUUCUUCCCAUAAUUCUGUUCAUCACACAAACACUUUGCAAAGCUGGAGUCAGCUCUGGUGCCGGCAAAUAUGAAACCUGUUAAAGACCAGAUAUGUUUUUUCUGUGUCCUGGUAAAGGUAGAGAGUGCCUUCACAGCCUGUCACCCUUGGAAUUUAGUGUCCAAAUCAAGAGACAAGAAAGGUAAACCGUGAUACAAGGAGAAACAAGGUAAAAAACUGAUGGGUGACUUUUAGUCUUGGGUAACAUAUAGAGUGUUUUUAGCUUGUAAGCUGCCAUGCUAUAAAUAUGGCUGGUUUUGAAUGCAUACUUUGGAGUACACCCGUGUAAGGUAAACUAAAUGCUGAGAGAACCACUUUCGGGAAGGAGUGGUGUGCAUACCUCCGUUUCAUAUGGUACUACUUUGUCUUUAGACAAUGAAUAUUUGGACUCUUGAAUGUUUUUAAUAUUGAACCGCAAGUGUAGUCAAGCAAUUGGCUAUACUUGAGACAAUAGAAGGCAAAAUUCCCUUGUCUCCUUGCGAAUGAGACACUUAACUAUGUCACGACUGGAGGAAUGUUUCUACCUCUCAAAGCUAUGCUUAGCGGAGCAUAGAAGUCAUUUGCUCCAGCCAGUCAACACAGUUACUUUUAAACUUCCCCCUAAAAUCCAUUAUUUAUAGCGGUGAGCCCAUUUAACUCUAGGGACUCCAUAAGCAUUCAGAAACAACUAAGGUCUGUUCCAUAUGCUGACUUCCAUUCCAGGGCUCCCUGUCCCUGGGAGAUACUGAGCACCUUCUGAGAGAGGCUGAGCUGGCUUGAAUGGGGUAAGAGGGUGUUCAGCGCACCACAGGAGUUGCUCAGCACUGCAAAUCAGCUUCAGAACAGAAAACGGAUGCCUUACUGUGAAUCACAUUGGCCCAAAUCAGGAUGGCAUGAAAUAGUGGUACUUAAGGGAUACUUACAUGGAACUUGAAGGGGAGUAGAUAAUGCCAGUAACAGGGAAGAAAAUCUAAUCAAGUACAGGAGUUUUGUAUUCAUGUAACAAGAUAAUAUCGAAAACUGUCACAAUAUUUGGUUAAAGCAAGAACCAUGGUCCAUUAGCAGCAGGAAAAAGCUUAAUUUGUUUAUUAAACCCCAAACUGUGUGUUUGCAAAAAAAUAAUAAACCCUGAUUCGCUUCUUCCUUUCUUUGUCGUAUUGUUAACCCUGAGAUAACUGCCACAGCAAACACUGAACUGUUUUGCUUUUGGGGGGUUAUUUUGCUCCUCAUGUCACUUGCUGUCUGGAUGGUGUGGACAUGUGGUAUGUUCCCAUACGCAUUCCCUGGGCACUAUAUAAAGUGCCAGCAUUAUAAUUCGCACCGAGAAGAUUGUAUAAAAUCUGAGAACAUGAGAAAGAGCUGCUAAAGCUGAAUGGCCCGUGUUGAAGAAGAAGAA